UACGUAGGGGGCGAGCGUUAUCCGAAGUUACUGGGCGUAAAGCGCGCGUAGGCGGGCUAUUAAGUCGGAUGUGAAAUCUCCACGGCUCAACCGGGAAACAGCAUCCGAAACUGGUAGCCUUGAGGUAUGGAGAGGGAAGUGGAAUUCCAGGUGUAGCGGUGAAAUGCGUAGAUAUCUGGAGGAACACCCGUGGCGAAGGCGGCUUCCUGGCCAUAUCCUGACGCUGAGGUGCGAAAGCCAGGGGAGCGAACGGG
This 254-nucleotide ribosomal RNA is filed under the name uncultured bacterium. Its description in RNAcentral is "partial 16S ribosomal RNA". It matches the Rfam family "Bacterial small subunit ribosomal RNA", at positions 524 to 776 of the family's 1533-position model. The record is from RNAcentral. RNAcentral also lists the same sequence under 1 other name.